This 429-nucleotide ribosomal RNA is filed under the name Gemmatimonadota bacterium. RNAcentral describes it as "Gemmatimonadetes bacterium partial 16S ribosomal RNA". It matches the Rfam family "Bacterial small subunit ribosomal RNA", at positions 355 to 776 of the family's 1533-position model. The record is from RNAcentral. Lineage: Bacteria; Pseudomonadati; Gemmatimonadota.
UAGGGAAUCUUCGGCAAUGGACGAAAGUCUGACCGAGCAACGCCGCGUGAGUGAAGAAGGUUUUCGGAUCGUAAAACUCUGUUGUUAGAGAAGAACAAGGACGUUAGUAACUGAACGUCCCCUGACGGUAUCUAACCAGAAAGCCACGGCUAACUACGUGCCGGCAGCCGCGGUAAUACGUAGGUGGCAAGCGUUGUCCGGAUUUAUUGGGCGUAAAGCGAGCGCAGGCGGUUUCUUAAGUCUGAUGUGAAAGCCCCCGGCUCAACCGGGGAGGGUAAUUGGAAACUGGGAGAUUUGAGUGAAGAAGAGGGGAGGGGAAUUCCAUGUGUAGCGGUGAAAUGCGUAGAUAUAUGGAGGAACACCAGUGGCGAAGGCGGCUCUCUGGUCUGUAACUGACGCUGAGGCUAGAAAGCGUGGGGAGCAAACAGG